Molecule: long non-coding RNA, 633 nt
Organism: Oncorhynchus gorbuscha (pink salmon)
Lineage: Eukaryota; Metazoa; Chordata; Actinopteri; Salmoniformes; Salmonidae
Exons: 7
Source: RefSeq, a predicted model, not a curated record
CCCAUAUGUCAGUCAACUAAUCUUUGCUUCCUGGUUCUCCUGGCUGUCAGAGUUGUAUCACCGUUCACCCGGCGUUAUCAUCAAUUGAACAUAGAAAAUCAGAACAGCAUCAAUGGCGUUCCGGAAGGCCUUGAAAGGGACAGCUAUCAUCGGGACCGGGGCGGCCGCUGCUCUUCUGGGCCUAUCACAACUGUCGGAAUACAGAAAGACGCAGAAUAAAUGGGCACGGCUGGCGUACGUAGCGGCGGAGGGGGAGUUAAAGCAGCCGUUUAAAGAUGAGCUCCCAACCAGACAGGCUCAGCUCUCCACCCUGCAAGACACUGAGGAGUUUGACGUCCUUGUCGUAGGGGAGGGGCCACGGGCUCCGGAUGUGCCUUAGACGCUGUCACACGCAACCUCAAGACUGCCCUGGUGGAGAGGAAUGAUUUCUCAUCGGGGACCAGCAGCCGGAGCACCAAGCUCAUCCACGGGGGAGUACGAUACCUCCAAAAGGCCAUCAUGAAGUUAGAUUACGAACAGUACAUGAUGGUGAAAGAGGCUCUCCACGAGCGCUCCAACCUGCUAGACAUCGCCCCUCAUCUGUCUGCCCCACUACCCAUCAUGCUCCCUGUUUACAAAUGGUGGCAGCUGCCU